Molecule: ribosomal RNA, 545 nt
Filed under: uncultured bacterium
Lineage: Bacteria
Description: bacterial SSU rRNA
Rfam family: Bacterial small subunit ribosomal RNA
Source: RNAcentral
UAAUAGAUACCCGGGUAGUCCACGCCGUAAACGAUGAGUGCUAAGUGUUAGGGGGUUUCCGCCCCUUAGUGCUGCAGCUAACGCAUUAAGCACUCCGCCUGGGGAGUACGGUCGCAAGACUGAAACUCAAAGGAAUUGACGGGGGCCCGCACAAGCGGUGGAGCAUGUGGUUUAAUUCGAAGCAACGCGAAGAACCUUACCAGGUCUUGACAUCCCGCUGACCGGCCUAGAGAUAGGCUUUUCCCUUCGGGGACAGCGGUGACAGGUGGUGCAUGGUUGUCGUCAGCUCGUGUCGUGAGAUGUUGGGUUAAGUCCCGCAACGAGCGCAACCCUUGAUCUUAGUUGCCAGCAUUCAGUUGGGCACUCUAAGGUGACUGCCGGUGAUAAACCGGAGGAAGGUGGGGAUGACGUCAAAUCAUCAUGCCCCUUAUGACCUGGGCUACACACGUGCUACAAUGGACGGUACAGAGGGUCGCAACCCCGCGAGGGUGAGCUAAUCCCAUAAAACCCGUUCUCAGUUCGGAUUGUAGGCUGCAACUCGCCUA